GCCAGCUGGAGUCACACUGGCUGCCAGCCACGCUCCAUGCUGCUGAACUACUGUGGCUGCAGCCCCCGGAGGCUCUCAGGACCCCAGAUUUUUAUCCACCCUGUUCUUAUGUGACAGUGCCUUGUAAGCUGUGAGUUGGUAUACCAUCUUUAAGAGAAAUGGUGCAUCGGAUUCCCUUCAACCCAUUUUCCAUGAGCAGCCAAGUCUGGCAUUGCAACUCACCACUACAAAAAUCCUUCAGAUCCAGGGUACAGAAGCAAACCACUGCUCCUAAGUGAAAUUUUGCAGUUUGAAGCUGGACAUAUGCCCCAAAACCUGUUUAGAAGACGAUGGAGCAAUUUCCACUAACAUUCAGUUUGUUUCUGUAUUUCUGUGCUUCUUUCCUGUGUUUAUAUUUUCCGUUAUCAGUUUAAGAUGUGAGACCUGAAGAAAGGUCCUUUGUGCCUGAAGCGUUGCCAAACAUCUCUCCCAACUAUACAAUAAAAAA
Long non-coding RNA from Alligator mississippiensis (American alligator), 487 nucleotides. RefSeq lists it as uncharacterized. The transcript has 3 exons. The record is from RefSeq and is a predicted model, not a curated record. Lineage: Eukaryota; Metazoa; Chordata; Crocodylia; Alligatoridae.